CAGCAGCCGCGGUAAUACGUAGGGUGCGAGCGUUAAUCGGAAUUACUGGGCGUAAAGCGUGCGCAGGCGGUUGUGUAAGACAGGUGUGAAAUCCCCGGGCUUAACCUGGGAACUGCGCUUGUGACUGCACAGCUAGAGUAUGGCAGAGGGGGGUGGAAUUCCACGUGUAGCAGUGAGAUGCGUAGAGAUGUGGAGGAACACCGAUGGCGAAGGCAGCCCCCUGGGCCAAUACUGACGCUCAUGCACGAAAGCGUGGGGAGCAAACAGGAUUAGAUACCCCCGUAGUCCCUGUCUCUUAUAC
RNAcentral lists this ribosomal RNA (301 nucleotides) under uncultured bacterium. RNAcentral describes it as "partial 16S ribosomal RNA". It matches the Rfam family "Bacterial small subunit ribosomal RNA", at positions 509 to 807 of the family's 1533-position model. The record is from RNAcentral.